Molecule: ribosomal RNA, 301 nt
Filed under: uncultured bacterium
Lineage: Bacteria
Description: partial 16S ribosomal RNA
Rfam family: Bacterial small subunit ribosomal RNA
Source: RNAcentral
CAGUCGCCACGGUAAUACGUAGGGUGCAAGCGUUAAUCGGAAUCACUGGGCGUAAAGCGUGCGCAGGCGGUUUGUUAAGACAGAUGUGAAAUCCCCGGGCUCAACCUGGGAACUGCAUUUGUGACUGGCAAGCUAGAGUGUGGCAGAGGGGGGUGGAAUUCCGCGUGUAGCAGUGAAAUGCGUAGAUACGCGGAGGAACACCGAUGGCGAAGGCAGCCCCCUGGGCCAACACUGACGCUCAUGCACGAAAGCGUGGGGAGCAAACAGGAUUAGAUACCCCUGUAGUCCCUGUCUCUUAUAC